Non-coding RNA from Acanthosepion pharaonis, 110 nucleotides. Lineage: Eukaryota; Metazoa; Mollusca; Cephalopoda; Sepiida; Sepiidae. The record is from the annotation of a GenBank genome assembly.
GAUAGAUUACUCAGCUCGUCUAUCGAUGAAGAGCGCAGACUGCCGUGAGAAUUGACGCGAACUGCAAGACUCGGUGAAUAUCGACACCUCGAACGCACAUUACCGCCACG